Molecule: ribosomal RNA, 253 nt
Filed under: uncultured bacterium
Lineage: Bacteria
Description: partial 16S ribosomal RNA
Rfam family: Bacterial small subunit ribosomal RNA
Source: RNAcentral
UACGAAGGGUGCAAACGUUGCUCGGAAUUACUGGGCGUAAAGCGUGCGCAGGCGGUUUUGUAAGCCAGAUGUGAAAGCCCCGGGCUUAACCUGGGAAUGGCAUUUGGGACUGCAAGGCUGGAGUUUGGCAGAGGAGACUGGAAUUCCUGGUGUAGCAGUGAAAUGCGUAGAUAUCAGGAGGAAUACCGAUGGCGAAGGCAGGUCUCUGGGCUAUAACUGACGCUCAUGCACGAAAGCGUGGGGAGCAAACAGG